GGGCCCGUAUCCUCGACAACUAUUAAUACUAAACUUGGUAUUAACUUUCGACUUUGGUAUUAACUUCACUCUCAAAGUGUAUCCUCAACAACUAUUAGCCUAAUACCUACUCUUAACUUUGGUAUUAACUUGAGAGUGCUGGCGAGGACCUCUAAACACUUAAUAGUAAAGUUAAUAGUGAGUCCCAGGCCCAGACCCAUAUCAACAUGGCCACCGGACUUCCUCGUCCAGCCCGCCUCCGCAAUUUAGAGUUUGAUAGGGCGCUUUGGAACUGUAUAACGAUGGUGAACUUGUCAAGACAUACAUAUUAGACCGUGCAGGAAUGGAGUAUGUGACUGAUUUGGUGAGAAGAGAGCUACAGGAUCCAGUUCAAAGGGAGCAUUCCCUCACCCCGGGGUUGAAAGUGAUUUUGACUUAAAGGUACUUGGCUACAGGAAAAAUGCUGCAGUGUUCAAGUGAUGAGUUAGGGGGUAAGCCAGAGUAGUGUAAGCAGGGUGAUUGUGGAAACUCUGGCCGCCCUCAGUGACCCGUAGGUAGUCGGGAGGUUUAUCCAGUCUCCCCUUGAUAGGGUGGAGAUCCGUGUAAAGCAAGCAGAAUUCUACCAACUUGCCGGUGUUGUGGGAGUGAUAGACUGCACCCAUGUGAAAAUAAUGGCACCAAAGGAAAACGAUGUAGUUUAUGUCAACAGAAAAAAAAAUAAACAUAGCUUGAACAUACAAUUAGUGUUUGAUGCCUUUGUUAUUGAUUAAAAUGUGAAAUAUUCGAGUUAAGGAAAACAAAACAUGGGAAAAAAACUUUUAUUUGUAGCAGAAAGGUACACACAUGCAAAUGAAAAAGAUGACAUUAAAAUUGCAUUAAAAUGUCAUUUAGAAUAUGAUUUAUAAUUAUUGCUGCCGGUUAUUCAUAUUGAGAUAAUGGUCGAGGUGACCACAUCGCGAACAUCAUGACUUAUGAGUGAAGUAAAACGAGGUUACUUGGUUUCUGUUUACAAAGUUCCAAGUGGAAAAACAACUUUAUUGUGAAUUCAGUGUAUACUUUUCUGGAGUAUUGUGUUUACUGAGUGAAUUGGUGACCAAUCUGUUGCUAUUUGUGUCUUGCUUGAAGAUAUUCAUCAUUGGAUUCAAAGCUAUGGUAUUAAUGUGCAAUAGUCAUCAUAACAAAAUACGUAGUAAUUAAUUAUAUAUGUCAACCUAUUUAUUUUCAUGAGAUCAUGGUAUGACCACUGAAAAACAGCUUUUUUUUCUUGGCUCCAUUACAAAUUCAGUAUAUAAUUACUCUAUUAGUGGAAUCUAGUUAUCAGCAUCUUUUAUUAUUAUGCCAAUAUUCUAAGCACUCAACUUGCAAACAUGCUUAGGUUUAUGUUGUCAGCUUGGGUCGGACUUAUGUGAACACUUUACCAAGUGACCUAAGAUUACUCAAUGCUCGCAAAGCUAUGGUAUUAACGUGCAAUGGUCAUCAUACCAAAAUACGUAGUAAUUAAUUAUAUAUGUCAACCUAAUUAUUUUCAUGAGAUCAUGGUAUGACCGCUGAAAACAUAGCUUUUUUUUAUCUUAGCUCCAUUACAAAUUCAGUAUAUAAUUAUUCAUAUAUUCAAUAAAGUAGUGGAAUCCA
Long non-coding RNA from Eriocheir sinensis (Chinese mitten crab), 1611 nucleotides. RefSeq lists it as uncharacterized. The record is from RefSeq and is a predicted model, not a curated record. Lineage: Eukaryota; Metazoa; Arthropoda; Malacostraca; Decapoda; Varunidae. The transcript has 2 exons.